This is a long non-coding RNA of Choloepus didactylus (southern two-toed sloth), 759 nucleotides long. RefSeq lists it as uncharacterized. The transcript is spliced from 3 exons. The record is from RefSeq and is a predicted model, not a curated record. Lineage: Eukaryota; Metazoa; Chordata; Mammalia; Pilosa; Megalonychidae.
AGAAAGUUGGGAGAGGCAAGGAACAGAUUCUCACCUGGGACUUCCAGAAGGAAGCAGCCCUGCUAAUACCUUGACAUUAGCCCCUCCAGACUCAUUUCAGACUUGAGACAUCCAGAACUGAGCAGGGAUUCUUCCUUGCAGAGUUAUUGGAUCCAGUUGGAGAAAUGGACAGAGAUGAAAACUGAAGAAGCCACAGAGGAUUAAUGACUGGACAUAGGAAGGAGCCUGAAAAUAUCUGAGGAAUAAAGGAAAGAUGCAGAUGAGUUAGUGAGAAGUACGGUCCACUGAUGCUGUAAUAUUUUAAUAGAGAGUGAGGAUAGGGGCUGCUGCACCAAGAUGUAGAACUUUGGGAGACAGAGACAGUCUCCUUGGCCUGUCUUGUACCUACUAUUUUGGAUGGAUAUUCCUCACCUGGGCAGCAACUUCACAGGUUUGAUGAGCACUGUGUGGAAAUUUGAGAACAAAGUCAAUGAACUGUGCACAUUCGCAUGUGAGAGCCCACAUCCUUAUGCCACCAACCAAAGCCUGGUUCUGAGAGUAACAACCACGAUUACAACCAGCUUCCCUGCACACAGCUCAAAGGAAAUGCAGACUUCUACCCAGGGCUGCUGACUCAGCCUGAAGCACUGGAAGCUUCUGGGUGGUUUCAGUUAGAAGUCUCCUUUACUGAGUCCUCUGUCCUAGCCCUAGACAGAAUCAGCGGCAGUUUUCAAAUCUGAAAUUUUGAUUUGCACUAGUGGAUACUGGGUGCUACUUGAA